This 253-nucleotide ribosomal RNA is filed under the name uncultured bacterium. Its description in RNAcentral is "partial 16S ribosomal RNA". It matches the Rfam family "Bacterial small subunit ribosomal RNA", at positions 524 to 776 of the family's 1533-position model. The record is from RNAcentral.
UACGGAGGGUGCGAGCGUUGUCCGGAAUCACUGGGCGUAAAGGGCGCGUAGGUGGCCCGUUAAGUGGUCGGUGAAAUCCCGGGGCUCAACUCGGAAAUGGCAUUGAAUACUAUCCCGCUUGAGGGUCGGAGGGGAGACUGGAAUUCUCGGUGUAGCAGUGAAAUGCGUAGAUAUCGAGAGGAACACCAGCGGCGAAGGCGAGUCUCUGGACGACUCCUGACACUGAGGCACGAAAGCUGGGGGAGCAAACAGG